CUUAAGUGGGGAAUAACGCAUCGAAAGAUGUGCUAAUACCGCAUAUUCUCUAAGGAGGAAAGCAGGGGAUCUUCGGACCUUGUGCUUUUGGAGCGGCCGAUGCCUGAUUAGCUAGUUGGUGGGGUAAAGGCCUACCAAGGCAACGAUCAGUAGUUGGUCUGAGAGGACGACCAGCCACACUGGGACUGAGACACGGCCCAGGCUCCUACGGGAGGCAGCAGUGGGGAAUUUUGGACAAUGGGCGAAAGCCUGAUCCAGCAAUGCCGCGUGAGUGUAGAAGGCCUUCGGGUUGUAAAGCUCUUUCAGUCGAGAAGAAAAGAUUGUGAAUAAUACUCACAAUUUAUGACGGUACCGACAGAAGAAGCACCGGCUAACUACGUGCCAGCAGCCGCGGUAAUACGUAGGGUGCGAGCGUUAAUCGGAAUUACUGGGCGUAAAGGGUGCGCAGGCGGCUCUGUAAGUCAGAUGUGAAAUCCCCGGGCUUAACCUGGGAACUGCGUUUGAAACUACAAAGCUAG
Molecule: ribosomal RNA, 518 nt
Filed under: uncultured bacterium
Lineage: Bacteria
Description: bacterial SSU rRNA
Rfam family: Bacterial small subunit ribosomal RNA
Source: RNAcentral